UCUCGCUCUCUCUCUCUCUCUCUAGUAGAAGAAAACUAUGUGUGUGUCGCCUAAUAUGUUAAUAAAGUUGUGGGUGAUAGUUGAAUUUAAUAUAUAGAAGAUGAAAUAUGUGAUGGAUUGUGCUCAAAUGAUAUGAGUUACAACCAAACUCGUGUUCUACGUCAUGCUAAUCAUUCAACUAGUAAAACAGAGUAAAUCUCGAGCCAUUGGCUCAGGUUGUUUUAUGUUUAUUUUUAUCCAUCGAAUGUUUGUUUGAGUUCCUCCUUGGUGUUUGCUUAAAUCAAGGCCUUGCCAGCAAAUCCUAGGCUUUGUACGACUCACAUUCAUUGUUGGGACUUGGCCUUUGAUUGGAUAUAUGAGGGAAAGGGAAAGAAAAUAAAUAAUGAAAAAUAAAGUGUUAUUGUAUUUUUUUCUGUUUGGAAAUGAAAGGAAAAUAUUGAAAGGAA
This 446-nucleotide unclassified non-coding RNA is filed under the name Hevea brasiliensis (rubber tree). Lineage: Eukaryota; Viridiplantae; Streptophyta; Magnoliopsida; Malpighiales; Euphorbiaceae. The record is from RNAcentral.